AAAGAACAGUCAUGUCGUUAAACCUACGAAUGAAGAGGCACGGUUUUACGUUUUACCGUUUGGUAAUUAAUGCUAAUUACUCUCCAUCUAUUCUUCUUCUUUUUUCCAGCCUUAACUUUUGCUCUUCCUAUCUCCACUAUCCAUGACUGUAGUUACCAUGGCCAAAGUGAAGAGGAAAAAAACAUGAUGUUAUAGAAUUUCUAUAAAAUCCAGCCGCCAUCUCUUCUUUCGAUCGCCUCAAAACGCUCUCGGUCUGAAUACGGUAACUGGAAAAAGGUGAAGCUCGAUGAGAUUAUUAACUAUGUGUAAUUCCUCCAAAGUCGAGUUGAGGUAAUUUACUUGGGUGACUUCGUUUUAUAAUUUGCAAAAACUAACUUUGCAAAAUUACUGAUAGAGUUUUCGGAGAAUAUUUGUUUGAUCUGUUUUUGCCAAAGAAAAAUAAUGUUUUAAAUAUUUUCAACCUCUGUUAAACAUUAGCAAGAUAACUUAAUUCUUUUUAUGUAUUCUUUAAUACAAAUCCUCUCAGUGAUGUUAGCUAAUCUCAAUCUAAGAGCUUCAACAUGGAACGUCUUCUCUUCGAGGAUGCAAGUCAGUCAAACAUAUGCUAUGUUAAUGAUGAGUUUUUGUGUUUUCUUUUUGUAUAUAAUUGUUCAUGAAUUUUGUGACAAUUUCAGAUGAUUCAAUCCAUUGAAUUGUUGCAUCAUACCAACAGAAGUAGCUGCAGAGUGUGAAUUUUUAGAGUUAUGAAAUUGGUUUAGAGGAAAAUUUAGUUCCGCUAGAUUUGUUGAGAAUAACAAAAGUCGGGUUGUAGUAAAGAAAUCUUAGUCCAUACAUUAUUCCUAUAUCUACUUGAGACAGCCGCUUAGUAUCGCCAUAAUCUUAUAUAAGCUUUCUUUGACUUUC
This is a long non-coding RNA of Lycium barbarum (goji berry), 903 nucleotides long. RefSeq lists it as uncharacterized. NCBI's taxonomy places the organism in Eukaryota, Viridiplantae, Streptophyta, Magnoliopsida, Solanales, Solanaceae. The transcript has 3 exons. The record is from RefSeq and is a predicted model, not a curated record.